GAUGAACGCUAGCUACAGGCUUAACACAUGCAAGUCGAGGGGUAACGAGAGGAAAGCUUGCUUUCCUUGUUGACGACCGGCGCACGGGUGAGUAACGCGUAUCCAACCUGCCCCCAACUAGGGAAUAACCUUGCGAAAGUAAGACUAAUACCCUAUAAUUUCCUCAGAUGUCAUCUGACGAGGAAUAAAGAUUUAUCGGUUGUGGAUGGGGAUGCGUCUGAUUAGCUUGUUGGCGGGGUAACGGCCCACCAAGGCAACGAUCAGUAGGGGUUCUGAGAGGAAGGUCCCCCACAUUGGAACUGAGACACGGUCCAAACUCCUACGGGAGGCAGCAGUGAGGAAUAUUGGUCAAUGGGCGGAAGCCUGAACCAGCCAAGUAGCGUGCAGGAUGACGGCCCUAUGGGUUGUAAACUGCUUUUAUACAGGAAUAAAGUUAGCCACGUGUGGUUAUUUGUAGGUACUGUAUGAAUAAGGACCGGCUAAUUCCGUGCCAGCAGCCGCAGUAA
Molecule: ribosomal RNA, 506 nt
Filed under: uncultured bacterium
Lineage: Bacteria
Description: partial 16S ribosomal RNA
Rfam family: Bacterial small subunit ribosomal RNA
Source: RNAcentral